RNAcentral lists this ribosomal RNA (478 nucleotides) under uncultured bacterium. RNAcentral's name for it is "partial 16S ribosomal RNA". It matches the Rfam family "Bacterial small subunit ribosomal RNA", at positions 28 to 507 of the family's 1533-position model. The record is from RNAcentral.
GAUGAACGCUGGCGGCGUGCCUAACACAUGCAAGUCGAACGGAGUCCAGCGUUUAAGCCCUUCGGGUCGAAGAGGGGAAGGGUGAGUGGCGCACGGGUGAGCAACCCGUGAGCGACCUGGCUCAUUGAGGGGGAUAACAGAAAAAAAUAUCUGCUAAUACCGCAUAUGCACACACUACCACAUGGCCGACUGUGAAAAGAGAAGCGCGAUGGGAGUGACCCGCGUCUGAUUGGACAGUUGGCAGUGUAAGAGCCGACCAAAGCGACGCUCAGUAGCCGAUAUUGGAGCAUGGUCCGCCACAUUGGGAGUGGGAGCCGUCCCGAACUCCUACGGAAGGACGGAGUGGGGGAUAUUGCACGACGGGGGGAACACGGAUGUAUCCACGCCGUGUAAGUGAGGAAGUAUUGCGGUAUGUAAAGCUCUAUGAGCAGGGAACAUAGUGACGGUACCUUACUAAGAAGCCACGGCUAACUACGUG